Molecule: long non-coding RNA, 658 nt
Organism: Cloeon dipterum
Lineage: Eukaryota; Metazoa; Arthropoda; Insecta; Ephemeroptera; Baetidae
Exons: 3
Source: RefSeq, a predicted model, not a curated record
GUGUUGACAACAGAGGGCUCUGCAUUUACGUGGGAUGUGGGAUGUGGCAUGAACUAAACUACUAAACAAGACCACGCUGGUGCAGUUAUGUAUUAUCGGGAUUUUUCCAGCUGCUGGAGGGUGGCAGGCAGUAGGAAUAGGAAUCAAUAAUUUAUCUUGGCACGUCAAAUUUAAAGAGCUAGGAAAAUGACUAAGAAACAAAAAAGAAGUGUAGCAGCCGUUGCUCAUGAAAUAUCUGACGAAGAGAUAGUUGAGCAGCCUAUUCCGCAGAAGAAAUCAAAGAAGAAAGUCAAAGUGGACAUUCCAAUAUUUUCAACAGAUGAUAUCGAUGACUUAAUUGUUUCUGAAAGAUCGGUCUUUCCGACUGAUUUGAAGCAACGACACCCUCUCUUUGGAGCAGAUUACAAAAAGAGGUGUAGUCUUUCUGGGUUAUGUCGCUAUCCGCAAAGGGAUACUAGUGUUAUUGCUACCAAGGAACGCAAGAAAAAGCGUGUCAAAGAUGAGUCAAUGGAUUGCGAGGAAGUUAGCGACUGUGAACAAAAUAUAGGUCUUGACACCACAUCCACACACUUGACGGAUUUACCAUCAAAGAAGAGAAAGAAAAAAUGGACUGUUUCUUGAAUUUAAGUUGUGAGUAAAACGCAUAAAUGAUAAUUUU